Long non-coding RNA from Scomber japonicus (chub mackerel), 163 nucleotides. RefSeq lists it as uncharacterized. The transcript has 3 exons. The record is from RefSeq and is a predicted model, not a curated record. Lineage: Eukaryota; Metazoa; Chordata; Actinopteri; Scombriformes; Scombridae.
UCGGCUAUUGUUGCAUUUACUGGGUUGCACGCUUUGGUACACAUAAAUGGCUUGUGGAGUUCAUUUGGGGAUUUUCCUUAUUUGCUUAGUUCAAGCAGAGCAUGUACGCUGUUUAUGGGCUACACAAGCUCAGAGCUUCAAGAGACAAAACGGCAACGUGUAU